This 2307-nucleotide long non-coding RNA is filed under the name Citrus maxima (pomelo). RNAcentral describes it as "long non-coding RNA (CMAX_LNC001991)". The record is from RNAcentral. Lineage: Eukaryota; Viridiplantae; Streptophyta; Magnoliopsida; Sapindales; Rutaceae.
AGAAAAUGAAAUCGCAGCCACUUGCCACUUAUGUUUAGAAACGUAAGAUAACUUACGUCUGACAUUUCAGUUGGAUUUAUUAGCAAAUUGAUGAGAAAUAAAUUAUAAGUUCCUUAUUUAAUUCAAAAAUUAAUGGUAAUAUCAUGGUUUGGUCAUCUCACAUGUGCUAUUAAUUAGUUAAUUAUGACAACUGUUUUUCAUUUAAUCCGCAUAAACUAAAAUUGCAUUAAUUACAAAAUUCUAAAUAGGGUAAUCAUCGUAUGUAUAGUGAAUAAACGUGAAAAUCUGGUUUGUUGAUUGUUCAAAAGCCAAUGAACUCUAAAAUUAAAAUCAUAAUGUUCAUGUACUCCAAAAUUAAAGAAAGCAACAUCACAAUGAAGUUUCUAAUUAAGCUAGUGUUCUAGAUUUAUUUGAGUUUCUAGAACGAAUGAAAAUUCGAGACAUGCACAUUGCCCGAAUCAACCGAUUUGAGUGUAGAAUGUUCAUUUGUUUAAUGUGAAUAAGCAUGAAUUAUUAAUUAAUUAAGAAAAUUACUCAAGAAUUGAUAAUGGGAUUUGCUCAAGUAAAACAAGGAUAUAAAGUAUCUAAAAAGAAUAUUUGAGUAUUCCAAAUCACAUGCCUUUGAUCAAGUUCACAAUAAGUCUGCAUGAUUUUAUAUACAAGGACGGAUUUACAAAAAAUUUAAAUCUAAUGUCUACUUGAGUUGUAAUAAAUUUUUAAAGUUUUCAGGGCAUGCCCAGUUUUGUUAAGUAAAAUAUCGGACCAAAAUUAAAUAUAAAUAUAUUUACUAAAUAUUUUAGUUGUUGUACGUUUAAAAUUAAGUAAAAUUAUGAUAUUAUGGCUUACAAAAUUAGAGUAAAAUUACCUCAAACAAAAUCUCAAAGGACUUAGCUAUGGUGUAACUGUGGUACCAUACUACAACUGCACCUAGUCAUUAGAUUUUUCACGAAUCCAAAGGCUAGGUGCAAAUUGUGAUAUGGUAUCACAAUUACACUGUAACUGGACCCCAUCUCAAAUCUACACAAUCCAAAUUUUCUAUGACAUAAUAUUAGUGCGUAAAAAUUGAAAAAUAAAAUGAAACGUAAUAUACGACAAUUAUUGAAAGGUUAUGCUUGCUCACCCAACACAAAUCCCCUUUAACAGUUCGAAAUUCCAUCCAGAUUAUGGAUCCUUGACUUCAAAAAAUUGAAAAAAAAAAUCCCAAUCAAAUUCAAAAUCUGCUAAUCAUAGAGCAAAAAUUAGACUUUGAUUAGGUUACUUAAAUAGAGCAAAUUAUAAUAAUAUUAUAAAGCAUAGCAUUUUUGAAAUUUUAAGUAUGUUUAAGAAAAAAAUGCAGAACUGAAGGCAUCUGACAAGAUUCUGAUUUUGACUGACGCUCCUGAGGAGAGAGAUUGCAGUCAUCACAAUUAAUGCAUGCAGAAACUGCUUUAAUAUUUUGAACCAGCCCUGUCCACCAGAUUAGAUUAGCAAGCACCAGUGCCCCAACACAACAUAAAGUUAAAGUGUUAAACCACACCCCCCACACACACACCAAAAAAAAAUAAAAAAAAAAUUCCUUAACAAAUCACAAUCACAUAAUUGAAAAAAAAAAAAAAGAGAAAAGAAGAAGCAUAUUCACAAAGAAAAAGGAUAAUUCACAAUCACAUGAUCCUCUAGCUCAUUUCUCUUAGCAAACAGAAGGAAUCAGAGAAUUCAGAAUCUUACAAAUCCCUUCUAGGCAAAAUUAAAGCAGAUGAUGAAUUGAUGAUGAUGAUGAAAGAAGCCUUUUUUUUUAAAAAAAAAAAAACUUCUUUUCCCCCAUAUACAUCAUCAAUGAUACAAUUCCAAGCGCCUAGAGCAUAAACUACAAAAAUACUUCUUUUUAAUCUUGUAGCAGAUGGGCAAGAAGCAGAACCUGCACUGACUCUCGAAAUCAAUGGCUAAAACUUUGCCUCCACAGUACGGACAUGAACCUGGAGCUUGUUGCCUCCCCAGCUCCCUCUCUUCUUCUGAGCAGACGUACACUAAACACAUUUUCUUCCUCCUUUAUCUGAUCUCUCGGGACUAAUUAUUAUUUGGGUUAGGCUAAUGGGUGUUCUUUUCUCUUCUCUCUAUUAUUAUUAUUAUUAUUAUUUUAUAUUUUUUGAGUGUUUCGGUGGGGAAAAUGUAAACAGAGCAAACUGAAGGCUCUCGAAAUGAUGUUGUGUCCAGACAGCAUUUAUAUAGAACACCAUACGGGUUGGUUGGAGACAAAUAUCAAAUAUUACCGGGUUACUUUUUACUUUUAAUAUUUACCAUUGCGAAAAAAAAAUUUAAGGUGAAAUAAUC